UGGGGAAUUUUGGACAAUGGGGGAAACCCUGACGCAGCGACGCCGCGUGUGGGAUGAAGGUCUUCGGAUUGUAAACCACUGUCGCGAGGGACGAAGCUCUGACGGUACCUCGAAAGGAAGCACCGGCUAACUCUGUGCCAGCAGCCGCGGUAAUACAGAGGGUGCGAGCGUUGUUCGGAAUCACUGGGCAUAAAGCGCACGUAGGCGGCUAGGUCCGUCCGAUGUGAAAGCCCCCGGCUCAACCGGGGAAUUGCAUCGGAUACAGCCUGGCUUGAGGACGGUUGGGGUGAGUGGAACUCCUGGUGGAGCGGUGAAAUGCGUAGAUAUCAGGAGGAACACCGGUGGCGAAAGCGGCUCACUGGACGUGUAUUGACGCUGAGGUACGAAAGCGUGGGGAGCAAACAGGAUUAGAUACCCAAGUAGUCCCUGAGCGGGCUGGCAAGGCGCAU
Molecule: ribosomal RNA, 449 nt
Filed under: uncultured bacterium
Lineage: Bacteria
Description: bacterial SSU rRNA
Rfam family: Bacterial small subunit ribosomal RNA
Source: RNAcentral